Molecule: non-coding RNA, 5641 nt
Organism: Oryctolagus cuniculus (rabbit)
Lineage: Eukaryota; Metazoa; Chordata; Mammalia; Lagomorpha; Leporidae
Source: RefSeq, a predicted model, not a curated record
CACUGGCUGGAUCUGAGUCUGGAGGAAGAAACUGUCCUUUCAUCCCGGGACAAACGGCACCACAGAAAAGGCGCUGGGAGCCUUACAACAGUCACCAAAACCCUGAAGGCGUGUUGCCCUCCACCCCGUACUUCUCCAGUGCUCUGGCAAAGCAAUUCAGGAGGGCAUCUCGGAGGAGGGGCGGGGCCAUCCGUGACUUGCUGCUGCCCCUGCAGUGCGUGCAGUGUGUGCUUGCUGACAGGCUCGAAGCCCUGGCACUCGCACCGUGCCACAUCACGCUCGGCUUCACGGCCCGCAAGCCAGACUGUUACCCUAGCCGCGAAACCUGGCACUGGCCUGGCCUCCUCAUGGACGAAGUCCUUGCGGGCAUCCGUUUCCAGGACAGGGAGGCAUCCUCCACAGUGAGGAUCAGCUCCGGCAAGGAAGGCCCCUCCGCAGUCAGCCGAUUCCAUUCCCAACAGCUCUUUCUUCGGCUGCCGUCGCAUCAGCACGUGCGGAUCCACCGCUCACCUUCACGAUGCGUGAUGAAUGAGGCCUCUCGGGUGUUCACAUCACCCACAGCUGGCAGUGAGCUCAACAUCGAAGCUGAGCCUGGCCUCUUUCAACCUUGCAAACUUCCGUUCUGAUCAGAGCUUUGGCUAUGAUCACCAUGGUGCCAAGAGGGAUGAGCCUGUCACCAACCCAGGUCAGCACAAGUUUCUCCACGCUUGGUGUGGGCCCCUCUGGCCGUCUCACUGGUCCUGCUGCCUUCAGUAAAGCAGCUCCUCCAACAGCUUCCUUUCCUCUACGUCUGCCCAUCAAGACAGGAGCUACCUCGCCAUGGGACAGGCCUGACUGCUGAGCGACACCGUCAUCCAUUUUCUCUCUCUCUCUUUUUUUUUUUUUAGAUUAAUUUAUUUGAAAGGCAGCGUCACAGAGAGCGAGAGGGAGAGACAAAGAGAUCUUCCAGCCUCUGGUUCACUUCCCGAGAUGGCCGCAACAGCUGGGGCUGGGCUAGGUAGAAGCCAGGAGCCAGGAGCUUUAUCUGGGUCUCCCACGUGGGUGGCAGGAGCCUAAGCACUUGGGCCAGCUUCCCCUGCUUUCCCAGGCCCAUUAGCAGGGAGCUGGAUAGGAAGUGGAGCAGCCAGGACUCGAACUGAUGCUCAUAUGGGAUGCUGGUAACACAUGUGGCGGCUUUACCAGCUACACCACAGAGCCAGCCCCCGUCACUGAUUUUCAACUUUCGUUAAUCACCUUAUAUUUUGUUUCUGGGUCAAUCAGUGUGGCUUCUUACUGGGCAGUGUCAGCGAGGGGUUUUCUACAUUUAGGGACCUCAGCGAACCAAAGAAAUCAGAUUAAAUCAAGCACACUCUAGAAGGGCGCAAUCAGUAGACAUGAGAGAGAGGGCUGCUGCCAAUGAAGCGUGGCACACUUCUGAAACUCUCCUGUUCAUCGGUAGGGUUGGCAGGAGCCGGUCAAAAGUUACCAAUGUGGUGUGGUAUAAUAGACAUAAGCCAGUGAGAUGCUUUUGAUUACAAUCAAGCGUUAUGCAGUGUGCAUAACUGUACAUGCUGUGCUCGCCCGUGACUGGCAACGCUAGGUCUGCUUAUCCCCACACCCACGCACGCACAGGAAGGCAGUGUGCUGACGUGACCCAACUGUGAUGUCACUGGGCUACAGCAAGUCAUCCUCUUGUGAGCCCUCAGCACGGGGAUGGUCUACGCCGUGUGGCGUGUGACUGCGUCUCCAGGAACCGUCUCUCCAUCCAGCUGCCUGCAGCUGCUCUUCCAGACAGUACCGCGAGCCCACAGACGGAUGCAGGCUCUACUGAGGCCAGGGCUCUCAUCCACACUCCCAGACCUAACUAUAACAGGCAUGGGUCACUCUGAAUUUUCCAGAGAAAUGUAUUCUGCCUCCUGGAUAACAUAUUAGACUUUUAAAUAUUUUGAAUGUACAAGUAAAAUAAUGGUAACUUUUUUUCAUGUAACAUACCUGAUUGUCUCCUGAUAAGAAAGGGAAGAAAUCUAAUCCUAUGGGAGAGAAAAAUUAUUUUAGUUUUGGAAAAAACAAGAACAAAAAAACAUAGUAAAACCCCUUUCCAAAUGCCCAGUACUUGGAAAACAAACAUAAAUCCUAACUCCUCUGCCUUUUGGAAUCUGACUUCAAGCUGAGUGUCCUGCGCCUCUCCCUCCUCUGGAUGCUGAGGGCGCAGCGCAAGCAGAGACGCCGCCUCCCCGCACCUCUGUCUGAGCAGCUGGGGGACCGGCUGCCGGCCGCGCACCGGCCAGCUCUCCUCCACUCCUCUCAUUCCCCCUCACAGGCACCUCGUGAGGCAUCUGAUCAUUUCUGGCCUCAUUUUACAGAGGAGAAAGUUUGAAGUUCCAAGAGUAAUAAGCAAGCCACAGCCCAAAUUUUCCUUUUCUUCCUCAGAGUUGCUCACUGCCACCAUCUGUACCAGACUGUAACUUGGAAUCUCUGCAGCGGCCAGAGCCCGGGGUGGGGGGUGGGCCUCCCUGCACCCAUUCUCGACUGUGAUGUGGUCAGGAGCAAAGUAAACAAGGCGACCGAGAUGCCUCGGGAGGACAGCUAAACCCAGGGCAAAGCGUACCACCAGCACAUGGAGACCACGGGGCCCACAUGCUGCCUGCUCCUCAUUACAGCUCAAGCGCUGACUUAGCACCGCGAUCCUUAGGAGCGACAGUAUGCUUCAAACAUUAAGACAAAAGCUACGGAAAGGCAUCUAACCAACAGUUAAGGGCAAAUGGAACUUCUGGACUGUGGACUUGGGAGAAUGGUAGAGGAAAAUUUUCACUGUUUUGUAUGGAAUUCACUAUAGUGAGCAUAUAUAGCUUUUAAAAACGGAUCCAUAAAAAUUGAACAUAUUCAUGGGGUAUAAUAUGGGCUUUCUGUAAUAACAAAGAAAAAUAUUCCUGCAUGACUUGAUUAAUUUACAAAUUACUAAACCACAAAGAUAUGAAAACUAACAAUACUUUCCAAUAAUGCAAAUGAUUAUUACGAACUCCAAAUACAUUAUACAAAUGAGUGACAGUUCUCACUGCUUUUAAUUCACUAGAGCAAAAGAGAAAACUUGCAAGUCUCUCAAUUCAGCAUUACCUAAAAGAUAAUACAGCAGUUACCCACAAUGACUGGGACAGAUUCGUGACCAUGUUCUAUUAUUUCUCUCAAUCCCUUGGGGCCUGCUCUCCCAAUCUUCCAGUUCUUGCUCAGGCGCACCCACAGAGGACCACACGGAUCGGAGGAAUGCUUGAUGCUGUGUGACAACUCGGAAGCCACGGCGACUCACCUUGCAGGUCGUAAGGCAUGGGCGUCAUGUGGAAAGGAUGCCUGUAGUCUUGGAUGAGGGACGUGUUGAUGUAGCUUGUGUCCACAGCAGGAAGGCUGGGGGUGCGAGAUACUGGAGAUGCUUGAUGUGGAAGACUUAAAAUGCUGUAAGAAGGAAAUGUUCGCAUAAUUUCCAUGAGUUAGUUGAAACAGGUUGCAUUUUACUACGAGCCCUAGCUUUUGUGCUGGAUACCAAAGCAAAAAACGGGCAAAGUGAUAUACAAUUUACACAAUCCACAAUGAUGAGGAAAUAAUCUGCACAAUUAAUAUAGCAUUUUGUGGAGGCUACAGAGAGAAACGGAUGCAUGCAAUGGUAUCCAGCAUCCAUACGCACAGAUUACACACAGUCUUUGAGACACCAUCAUCUACACUUUGAGAAUGUAGGGAAAGGCAUGUCUAAGCCACUUCAGCAGGAUACAUGUGAAAAGCACCUACGUGAGUUUCAUGAGGACCAAAACUGGCUGGUAUCUGUCUCGGUACACCCGAUGCCCAGCACCUCUGUCAGCACACUGUUGGCAUAAAAGCCUUGUAGAACUGAAACAAGAGGUGCUCCCAGUGGAAAGGUGGAGAGUUUUUGUUUGUUUGUUUUUUAAAGAUCUAUUUUAUUUAUUUGAAACACAGAGUUACAGAGAGAGAGGUCUUCCAUCCAAUGGUUCACUCUCCAGAUGGCUACAACGGCUGGAGCUGUGCCAAUCCGAAGCCAGGAGCCAGGAGCUUCCUCCGGGUCUCCCACACGGGUGCAGGGGCCCAAGGACUUGGGCCAUCGUCCACUGCUUUCCCAGACCAUAGCAGAGAGCUGGAUUGGAAGUGGAGCAGCCGGGACUAGAAUCGGUGCCCAUAUGGGAUGCCGGCGCUUCGGGCGAGGGCUUUAACCCGUUGCGCCACAGCGCCGGCCCCAAGUGGAGAGUUUUUAAAGGAGCAAGAGCAUAAUCAGAACAUGAAAAAAAGGAAAAGAGUGAAAUGUCUAUAUUAGCUGAGUACUCAGAUCUUGUUUCUCUUUAGCAAAACAUAAGGAAAAGGGAAAAAGGAAGGAAGGAAGCAAGGAAAGGGAAAAGAAUGAAUGUGACUAAUUUGGAGAAGAAAAUGAAAGAAAUGUAACCAUCCUGGGCAGAAACAGGGUUGUAGGUUAUCCCAGUCACACAAGAAGCUCACAGGCAUUACAUUAUAGAAAACCAAGAAGCAGCAAGGGUUAAAGAGGCUAUCUUUGGUUUUGAAUGCUUCAUAUGAAGUUUUUUGGGUGUGGUGAGGCAAUUUCAAAGGCACAGAAUAUUUCAAAAGAUGCCCAGGUUGGGUUUCUGGGAACAGAGUUCUAGUUAUGACCAUCUACCUACCACGUUUUCAUCAAUGGGGUAUGAAAUAUACAACACACUCUCGUCUUCCUUGUGAAAGUGUCUCAUCUAAUGGAAAAUUAAUUAAAUCUCUUACAUCUACAAAAACUACCACGUUCCACUAGCCAUGUCCUCUGACAGUGCCAGGGGACUGCAGGAGAGAAGAAAGCAUUCGAGAGGCUCAUCUCGGGGAACAUCUCAGUACACUGAACGGUACAGUACACUUCUGGACAAAUGGACACUCAGUGGAACUCUGGCCAAGUGGUUUUACAGUUAGUGACAUCUGCCUCUUCCUGGCCCCUGGCUGGCUGCUGUACUUGCAAUUUUGUGAUAAUGCUUUGAGAUGCUUUUCCACCUUUAUUCUGCACAAUAACUAACACACACACCACGCUGGGCUUAGUUCUCUAGCUACUGGCGAAUCAUGCUGUAAAAUGGCUACUACUGUGGUGUAUUCUCCUUCUAAAGAUCUUGUAAAUUGUCAGGUUUCUUGUUUUACCUGAAAAUAGAAAAAGGACUGGCAUCUGCAAAUACUGUAUCUGGGUUCAAUUAGUCACUGGGAAACUCAGGAAGUAGUUAAUACAUCUAAUGUAAUUUUUUCAAACAUUAACACACAGAGCUAUUUUUAUAGACAUAGCAAAGUAAAUAUCUAAAAAGUUUCCUUGAAGGAAAAAAAACAUCUAGCCACAUGGGAAAACUACAGCAUAGUUUAUGUGUAUUAUAUGUAUGUACACACACACACACACACACACAGGACUGUUAUCACUAUUCUAAAGAACCAACAUACAUAAUGAUGCAUAUUAACUCAAAAGUAUUCACAUACCUAGAAGUUUAAGAAAUAUCUUUUAAUGUUGCCAAUUAUGGUCUUAAAAACUCACAACACAGUUGUCCCUCAGUAUCUAUAUCAAAAUCUGUAGAUGUUCACAAUAGCCCAGUAUUUGCAUAACCCACACGGUCCUUCUGGGUACUGUGAGGCAGCCCUGGAUGACUUACAA